Long non-coding RNA from Camponotus floridanus (Florida carpenter ant), 488 nucleotides. RefSeq lists it as uncharacterized. Lineage: Eukaryota; Metazoa; Arthropoda; Insecta; Hymenoptera; Formicidae. The record is from RefSeq and is a predicted model, not a curated record. The transcript is spliced from 3 exons.
GUGCCGGCGUACUUGCGACUGCCGGUCUCUUGUUGGAUGAUUCCGCCCGCCGUUUCAUAAGCGAAGGAAUAAUGUCCGCGGGAAUCGCCCAGAUCGCGUGCGUAGCUGACGAGCCUCUCUGGUUCCGGAGAGAAUUGACCGUGAACCAAUCCAAGCAGGGCUAUUAACAGCUAAAAAUGUAAAGGAGGAUGUUUAAUGACGUCGAUGCGGACCGAAGUGGAGAACUAUCUAUACACACACUACGCGCUUUGUAAUCCGCGUCAUGUCCAUCUUAUAAAGAGACGCUGGAGAUACCUUUCCCCGCAAAAGGUCAGCAUAAAAUGAAUGCGUUGAUACACAUAAAGCUCGUAAAGUUACAAGAGUACAGUGGCACAUCAUACUUUAUCUGCGCUACGCGUAAAAGCUUCUUCCACAAAAGCAGUCUGCCUCGUAAAAUUACAACUUAUGUUUAUACAUAUAUAUAACAUGAAAGUUAUCUUUAUAAGUAU